AUGACGCCCAAAAUUGCAAAUCUUGGUUUGUCAAGACCUGUUGCUUCAACAGAUAAUCACGACGGAACACUUGGGUUCAUGCCACCGGAGUUCGUUGAUGGUGGCGAUAUAUCAAACAAGUUUGACGUGUUCAGUUUGGGCGUCAUAAUGAUAAAAAUACUCGCUGGAAAUAACGGCUAUUACAGAUGUUCUAAGAUGUCCCCCGAACAGUUUUUUGAGCUUGUAACUGAAAACUGGACGAAAAGGUUGCAGACAAUGAUGAGCUAUGCAUCACUCAAAGAGGACAUCCUACGAGUGAGGACGUGUGUUGAGAUUGCAUUAAGGUGUGUCGCCAUGGACCAAAAUAAAAGGCCUACCGUGAAGGAAAUUGUUCAUGAACUGGAGGGAGUCGAAGCCAAUAUCACAAUAAUGUCACACCUAACUGUGCAAACAGGAUCCGAGCGACACCAAGUGUCGUUACAACAUUUGAAAGAUAUCAGAGAAAAUUUCUCAAGGGAAUGA
RNAcentral lists this ribosomal RNA (501 nucleotides) under Triticum aestivum (bread wheat). RNAcentral describes it as "partial small subunit ribosomal RNA". Lineage: Eukaryota; Viridiplantae; Streptophyta; Magnoliopsida; Poales; Poaceae. The record is from RNAcentral.